Molecule: non-coding RNA, 1490 nt
Organism: Cicer arietinum (chickpea)
Lineage: Eukaryota; Viridiplantae; Streptophyta; Magnoliopsida; Fabales; Fabaceae
Source: RefSeq, a predicted model, not a curated record
AGAAACUGCCAAAAAAUAGUGACAACCACCACCCACUGAACAAAUUUAACUUGAAGAGGACCACAAUUUACACUAACCUUCUUAGCCGGUGACUCAUUCAAUGAUCUUGAUAUGUGUAUAUAUCAACCUCUUCUACUUUCUUCUCUAUUCAUAUUCCAAUUUAGAGAUACACUUUUUAGUUUUUAUGUUUUUCUCUCUUUUCUUUCCUUCAACUUCUUCUCCAUUUCUCCUUUAUAUGUCACAUCCUUUGGAAAAAUCUGGUCUUAUUAUUUUUAUUAUUUUUUUUCAUUUUAAUUUAUAUAUUAUAUACAUUCUAUUUAGACAUUAUUUCUUGGUUCAAUAUUCUCCUCAGCUAGAUCAUUUUUUUUAUUCUUGUUUACAUGAUUUUAAUCAUGUGUGGCUAAUUUUUGGAGAAAGAGGAAUGAGUAUGCGCAGAUGGCAAGAAACAAUGAUGAAGAAUGCAUGGAAUGAAGUUGUAUGUGAUGAAUGAUACAUUUCAUGUCAUGUUGACAGAAGAGAGAGAGCACAACCCGAGAAUGGUUGAAAGAGAAUCUUUAUCUUUGUUGGGAGUGUGCUCUCCCUUCUUCUGUCAUCAUCACAUCCAUCAACUUAUUUUCCUCCACCUUUUGUCUAUAUGCGCGCGAGACAUGCACCAUUCAUAUACUACCAAUCAAGGUAAUGUGACUCUUUUUCUAUACUUCAUAUUGAUUGCUUUCUUCUAUCAAUUUUUUUUCCAUUUUCAUGCUAUCAUCUUUCAAUUUUUGAUAUAUUUGUGUUGAUUGCUUGUAGGGACGGGUUUUUUCAAUCAUAUCUUUUUUUUUUGGAAUUUUUUUCUUCCAAAGCUACUUAUUUUGAACCUAAUAUAUUAAAAUAUUUUAUUAUUUUGAGCUUUUAGAAGGUCAUACGGUGGAGAUGCAAUCAUAUUAAUUUUAAAGUAAAUUACUUAAAAAAAAAAACUUCUAAAAAGAUUAUAUAAUUGAAAAAAAAAAAUCUUAUUGGACCCUUAUAUUAAGACUCCUAAAUAGUGAAUUUUAUUUUAAAUACAUCGCGACAUCAUAGUGAAUAAAGUUCUACUUAGCUUCUAUGAUGAGUUAUAGAGAGUUCAGAUAAUCAUUUACUAGCAAGUUGGACAAAAGUCUUUAGUACAUUUGACAGCCAUAUUGUAAGGAGUCACCAACGGAUCUUGUUAGGAGUCCAUAUGUGCCAAUGCAUCUCUCAAAUUAAAAGAAUUUUGCUUUGCAAAUAAUAUGUUUAGGCCAUCAUGUAUAAUGGUGGAUGUUUCACCUAGUUAACACCAAAUUAACUAGGCACCUCUUUUAUUGAGGAAUUUUUUUGGGUGACUAUUGAAAUAUCUUCUUUCUUUAUUUUUCGUGGGUCCGACCAACAGAAUCAAUUCUAUUAAAAGGAAAUGAGAAUUGUUGUAACGUAGUCAUAUAAAAUUAUUAAUGAAAUUUAUUUAAGAAUUUUUGUUGAUGUUGUGCUGGAUUGAA